GACGAACGCUGGCGGCGUGCUUAACACAUGCAAGUCGAACGGUGAAAGCGGAGCUUGCUCCGCUGGAUCAGUGGCGAACGGGUGAGUAACACGUGGGCAACCUGCCCCUCACUUCGGGAUAACUCCGGGAAACCGGGGCUAAUACCGGAUAUGACCUCCUUGGGCAUCCUUGGAGGUGGAAAGUUUUUCGGUGAGGGAUGGGCCCGCGGCCUAUCAGCUUGUUGGUGGGGUAGUGGCUCACCAAGGCGACGACGGGUAGCCGGCCUGAGAGGGCGACCGGCCACACUGGGACUGAGACACGGCCCAGACUCCUACGGGAGGCAGCAGUGGGGAAUAUUGCGCAAUGGGCGAAGGCCUGACGCAGCAACGCCGCGUGCGGGAUGACGGCCUUCGGGUUGUAAACCGCUUUCAGCAGGGAAGAAGCCGCAAGGUGACGGUACCUGCAGAAGAAGCACCGGCUAACUACGUGCCAGCCGCCGCCGUAA
RNAcentral lists this ribosomal RNA (485 nucleotides) under uncultured bacterium. Its description in RNAcentral is "partial 16S ribosomal RNA". It matches the Rfam family "Bacterial small subunit ribosomal RNA", at positions 28 to 523 of the family's 1533-position model. The record is from RNAcentral.